AGGAAGUGGCGGGCGUGCUAAUACAUGCAAGUCGAGCGGACAGAAGGGAGCUUGCUCCCGGAUGUUAGCGGCGGACGGGUGAGUAACACGUGGGUAACCUGCCUGUAAGACUGGGAUAACUCCGGGAAACCGGAGCUAAUACCGGAUAGUUCCUUGAACCGCAUGGUUCAAGGAUGAAAGACGGUUUCGGCUGUCACUUACAGAUGGACCCGCGGCGCAUUAGCUAGUUGGUGAGGUAACGGCUCACCAAGGCGACGAUGCGUAGCCGACCUGAGAGGGUGAUCGGCCACACUGGGACUGAGACACGGCCCAGACUCCUACGGGAGGCAGCAGUAGGGAAUCUUCCGCAAUGGACGAAAGUCUGACGGAGCAACGCCGCGUGAGUGAUGAAGGUUUUCGGAUCGUAAAGCUCUGUUGUUAGGGAAGAACAAGUGCAAGAGUAACUGCUUGCACCUUGACGGUACCUAACCAGAAAGCCACGGCUAACUACGUGCCAGCAGCCGCGGUAAUACGUAGGUGGCAAGCGUUGUCCGGAAUUAUUGGGCGUAAAGGGCUCGCAGGCGGUUUCUUAAGUCUGAUGUGAAAGCCCCCGGCUCAACCGGGGAGGGUCAUUGGAAACUGGGAAACUUGAGUGCAGAAGAGGAGAGUGGAAUUCCACGUGUAGCGGUGAAAUGCGUAGAGAUGUGGAGGAACACCAGUGGCGAAGGCGACUCUCUGGUCUGUAACUGACGCUGAGGAGCGAAAGCGUGGGGAGCGAACAGGAUUAGAUACCCUGGUAGUCCACGCCGUAAACGAUGAGUGCUAAGUGUUAGGGGUUUCCGCCCCUUAGUGCUGCAGCUAACGCAUUAAGCACUCCGCCUGGGGAGUACGGUCGCAAGACUGAAACUCAAAGGAAUUGACGGGGGCCCGCACAAGCGGUGGAGCAUGUGGAUUUAAUUUCGAAGCAACGCGAGAACCUUACCAGUCUUGACAUCCUCUGAUAACCUAGAGAUAGGGCUUUCCUUCGGGACAGAGUGACAGGUGAUGCAUGCUUGUCGUCAGCCUCGUGUCAUGAGAUGUGGUAGUCCCGCAACGAGCGCAAACCUGAUCUAGUUGCCAGCAGU
RNAcentral lists this ribosomal RNA (1103 nucleotides) under Bacillus altitudinis. RNAcentral's name for it is "bacterial SSU rRNA". It matches the Rfam family "Bacterial small subunit ribosomal RNA", at positions 26 to 1125 of the family's 1533-position model. Lineage: Bacteria; Bacillati; Bacillota; Bacilli; Caryophanales; Bacillaceae. The record is from RNAcentral.